AUGUUGGUGUUUAUGGCAUCUGUCACCCCAUUGAUUGCCAGGACUGAUUUGGCGGAUCUGCCUGUCUAGGCAGGUGUCCCCUUCCCCUGCAUCGCUGUAUGUAUGUCCUUCCAGAAAUGGUGUGAUUUGACAAAAAGGAGAGUGUCCCCUUAGUGCUGAAGAAACCAUCUUAGGUCAAAGGUUAAACUACUAGCUCUGCUCCCCUGACUGAACCUCCAGAUAAGUUCCCCAAAAUAUAUAAUGUUACAGUUGCUCUAGAUUUGAGGGCUAUGAAACUCGCCUGGUUUUUAAUGAAUUUAAAAUAAUUUGUCUUU
RNAcentral lists this small nuclear RNA (314 nucleotides) under Mus pahari (shrew mouse). RNAcentral describes it as "sRNA (MGP_PahariEiJ_G0007990.1)". It matches the Rfam family "7SK RNA". Rfam says of the family: 7SK was discovered as an abundant small nuclear RNA in the mid-70s but a possible function has only recently been suggested. Two independent studies have found that 7SK RNA binds the CDK9/cyclin T complex (known as elongation factor P-TEFb). Lineage: Eukaryota; Metazoa; Chordata; Mammalia; Rodentia; Muridae. The record is from RNAcentral.